UGUGUAGGCGGUGCUCUAAGUUCGGUGUGAAAUCUCCCGGCUUAACUGGGAGGGUGCGCCGGAAACUGGAGUGCUCGAGCGUGGGAGAGGAAAGCGGAAUUCCUGGUGUAGCGGUGAAAUGCGUAGAUAUCAGGAAGAACACCUGCGGUGUAGACGGCUUUCUGGACCAUUGCUGACGCUGAGACACGAAAGCGUGGGUAGCAAACA
This 207-nucleotide ribosomal RNA is filed under the name uncultured bacterium. RNAcentral describes it as "partial 16S ribosomal RNA". It matches the Rfam family "Bacterial small subunit ribosomal RNA", at positions 568 to 774 of the family's 1533-position model. The record is from RNAcentral.